GACGAACGCUGGCGGCGUGCUUAACACAUGCAAGUCGAACGGAAAGGCCCUGCUUUUGUGGGGUGCUCGAGUGGCGAACGGGUGAGUAACACGUGAGUAACCUGCCCUUGACUUUGGGAUAACUUCAGGAAACUGGGGCUAAUACCGGAUAGGAGCUCCUGCUGCAUGGUGGGGGUUGGAAAGUUUCGGCGGUUGGGGAUGGACUCGCGGCUUAUCAGCUUGUUGGUGGGGUAGUGGCUUACCAAGGCUUUGACGGGUAGCCGGCCUGAGAGGGUGACCGGCGGCACUGGGACCGACGUAAGGCAGAGGCACCGACGGGACGCAGAAGGGCGGAAUAUUGCACGAUGGGCGCAGGGCUGGUGCAGAAACGCCGCGUGCCGGAAAACGGGGUUAGGAGUGAAGAACAAUUGCGCAUGUAACGAAGCGUGAGUGAAGGUGAUGGAUAAAGAAGCACCGGCCAACUAACUG
RNAcentral lists this ribosomal RNA (468 nucleotides) under uncultured bacterium. RNAcentral's name for it is "partial 16S ribosomal RNA". It matches the Rfam family "Bacterial small subunit ribosomal RNA", at positions 28 to 507 of the family's 1533-position model. The record is from RNAcentral.